GGCUCAGAUUGAACGCUGGCGGCAGGCCUAACACAUGCAAGUCGAGCGGUAGAGAGAAGCUUGCUUCUCUUGAGAGCGGCGGACGGGUGAGUAAUGCCUAGGAAUCUGCCUGGUAGUGGGGGAUAACGCUCGGAAACGGACGCUAAUACCGCAUACGUCCUACGGGAGAAAGCAGGGGACCUUCGGGCCUUGCGCUAUCAGAUGAGCCUAGGUCGGAUUAGCUAGUUGGUGAGGUAAUGGCUCACCAAGGCGACGAUCCGUAACUGGUCUGAGAGGAUGAUCAGUCACACUGGAACUGAGACACGGUCCAGACUCCUACGGGAGGCAGCAGUGGGGAAUAUUGGACAAUGGGCGAAAGCCUGAUCCAGCCAUGCCGCGUGUGUGAAGAAGGUCUUCGGAUUGUAAAGCACUUUAAGUUGGGAGGAAGGGCAUUAACCUAAUACGUUGGUGUCUUGACGUUACCGACAGAAUAAGCACCGGCUAACUCUGUGCCAGCAGC
This 499-nucleotide ribosomal RNA is filed under the name Pseudomonas sp. Its description in RNAcentral is "bacterial SSU rRNA". It matches the Rfam family "Bacterial small subunit ribosomal RNA", at positions 21 to 515 of the family's 1533-position model. Lineage: Bacteria; Pseudomonadati; Pseudomonadota; Gammaproteobacteria; Pseudomonadales; Pseudomonadaceae. The record is from RNAcentral.